GUGCUAGCUUCGGCAGCACGUAUACUAAAACUGGAAUGAUACAUAGAAGAUUAGCAUGGCCCCUGCACAAAGAUGACACACACAUUUGUAAAGUGUUCCAUAUCUUU
Molecule: small nuclear RNA, 107 nt
Organism: Equus caballus (horse)
Lineage: Eukaryota; Metazoa; Chordata; Mammalia; Perissodactyla; Equidae
Source: Ensembl